AAGCUCGUAGUUGAAUUUCGGGAUCAGUAUGUUGGUCGUGCUUCGGUACGUACUGUCAUUACUGGUUUCUCCCUUCUGAAGUACCUUGAUGUCAUUAAUUUGGUGUCUUGGGGAAUCAGAACUGUUACUUUGAAAAAAUUAGAGUGUUUAAAGCGGGCAUACGCUUGAAUACAUUAGCAUGGAAUAAUGAAAUAGGACGUUUGAUUCUAUUUUGUUGGUUUCUAGGAUCGACGUAAUGAUUAAUAGGGAUAGUUGGGGGCAUUAGUAUUCAAUUGUCAGAGGUGAAAUUCUUGGAUUUAUAGAAGACUAACUACUGCGAAAGCAUUUGCCAAGGAUGUUUUCAUUAAUCAAGAACGAAAGUUAGGGGAUCGAAGACGAUCAGAUACCGUCGUAGUCUUAACCAUAAACUAUGCCGACUAGGGAUCGGAUGAUGUUAUUUUUAAUGACUCAUUCGGCGCCUUACGGGAAACCAAAGUGUUUGGGUUCCGGGGGGAGUAUGGUCGCAAGGCUGAAACUUAAAGGAAUUGACGGAAGGGCACCACCAGGGGUGGAGCCUGCGGCUUAAUUUGACUCAACACGGGGAAA
This 585-nucleotide ribosomal RNA is filed under the name uncultured Glomus. RNAcentral describes it as "SSU rRNA". It matches the Rfam family "Eukaryotic small subunit ribosomal RNA", at positions 624 to 1213 of the family's 1831-position model. The record is from RNAcentral. Lineage: Eukaryota; Fungi; Glomeromycota; Glomeromycetes; Glomerales; Glomeraceae.